AACGAAAUAGUUUAAUUGAAAAAUAUUGGGUUUGCAUCCCAAAGAUGGAUAUAUGUUCUUUUGUUA
Molecule: transfer RNA, 66 nt
Filed under: Taenia solium (pork tapeworm)
Lineage: Eukaryota; Metazoa; Platyhelminthes; Cestoda; Cyclophyllidea; Taeniidae
Description: tRNA-Ala
Rfam family: tRNA
About the family: Transfer RNA (tRNA) molecules are approximately 80 nucleotides in length.
Source: RNAcentral